This 1825-nucleotide long non-coding RNA is filed under the name Homo sapiens (human). RNAcentral's name for it is "HSALNT0400382". Lineage: Eukaryota; Metazoa; Chordata; Mammalia; Primates; Hominidae. The record is from RNAcentral.
GACCUAGAUGAGGAAACCCCAGGCAGAGUCCUGGGGAAGCAGCACGGCAUCCGAGCCUCAGGCUUGCCUGGACGGUGUUGGUUGGGGUAAGAUUGGGGAAGAUGCCAGGUGAUAGAAUCCACCCUGCCUCUGACAGCAUCCAAUCUGGAGCAAAGGCUUAUUUCAACCCUCCCCCAAGCUCCCAAUACAAGCCCAAAUUCUGGAACAGGUCCUUUCCAACACCUCCUUCAGAGAAGCUCCCUGGCUCCAGGCAGUGCUUGCUCCCCUCACUGCAGCAGGAAGCCUAACUUGCGAACUGCAGGUGUGCUCCAGGUGGUCACUGGAUGCAAGGCAUUGACAGAUGGAUCCCAUCGAUACCCCCACUGCAAAACCAUAGUGCAGUGAAUAGAAGACACUUCUCUGCACCCCAAAAGCUCCAUGCUGAUUGUGAGAAGGAAAUGCUGGAUGGAGGGGUUCCUGGAACUACUGUGAGGGAAAUGGUGCGAGAACUUUGGAUGUGGAACGUGGAGGAGGAGGAACACGAAGUGGGGAUCUGCACUUGGGGUGGUCAGCACUGCGGAUGCCCAGCAAAGUCACUGCCUGGUCCACAUCCCGGAGGGGUCUCUGCGCCUCAGUCGGCAUCGCAGCUGAUGGUGAAACUUUUGGUGUGGCAGAAGAGUGUCCACAAACUUCGGAAGGUAUCCGCUACAUCCUCCAUAGCCGUGUAUCCCUGCCCAGGGCAAUCUUCUGGGGGAGCGGAAAGUCCUGCUCCCGGGCCAGGGCUGGCUGGCUGGAGCCACUUGUGCGGCGCAGCCCUGGCGGAGGUUCAGGCGGCCCCGGUGUCGCAAGCGGCUGUGAGUGAUGCCUCCCUGGGGCCGGAGUGGUCCCAGGAAGGCUGCAGACCAGGGCUGACCAGCGGGCAGCAUGGUGGCCGCGAUGGAAGGUGACGGGGUUCGCAGCGCCAGGGGACCCAGCAGAGCCCGAGCCCGGGCAUCCCGCAUCUCCAGCAGCAUCGCAGGUAGGCCUGGUGCUGGUGAAGUGGCGGCCAGUGCACAAGGCCUACGACCCAGUCCCAGAGGCCAGCCCAUUGUCAGCUAACUUCAGGAACCCCGGGCCAGCUGAGGCCCCGGGCCCCAUGGGCAAGACAAAGGGCAGAGGGUCCGCAGGCGGGGCCGAGUGCAGGCAGUGCAGGCCUGGCUCCACCGCCGCGGAGCUCGCAGGGCGCAGCAGGCAUCGGGCAGUGACCAGGGCUUCCAGAGGAGGCUGUGCACCCCUGCAAAGGCUCCUGCCCUGCGUCCAGCCUAUCCGCGGGGACUCCACGUGCACCCCCUCCUCAUUGUCCUUGUCUAGGGCCGCGGCGGCAAGGUCCUUGCUCCCAUGGCGUGACUCCAGGGUGCAGGAGCCUGGGCUGAGCAGGUGGAGUAGGGUGAGCUCCGCCAAGAACCCAGCGAGAGUGGCGCCCCAGGGCGGCACAGGAGGCCGCAUUUAACAUGUCAAUCAUCUGAAAGAUUUUAUGGCAUCUUUUUUUUGACAUCUUAUAAUAUCUAUAAUGUUUAUUAUAUCUUGUGAUAUAAUUAUUAACACCACUUCAGUGUGAUUAUUAUGAUUAUUUUUAUACCAACACAUCUUCAAUUAUUAAUAUUCCCAGUUGCUAGAGAAAACUGAAAACUACUAGUUUUGAAAGCCUCACUUCUGCCAAUGGAAGCACAUUCCAGCAUGUCGCCAACGCAAUCCACUUUCCACCACUUUCACAAAAAACGUUACUGCACAAUUAUACUAUCCUACCCUUAUAUACUUUUUGUGUGUGUGUGUACUUGUAUGUAUGUAUGUUACAUAGGUCAUAUAU